CUACUCGGAUAACUGUGGCAAUUCUAGAGCUAAUACGCGCAAGAAGGCUCGGACCUUUCGGGAAGAGCGCAUUUAUUAGACCAAAACCAAUCGAGCUUCGGCCUGAGCUUUGGUGACUCUGAAUAACUAAGUCGAUCGCACAGUCUUAGUACCGGCGACGCAUCUUUCAAAUGUCUGCCUUAUCAACUUUCGAUGGUAGUUUAUGCGCCUACCAUGGUUAUAACGGGUAACGGAGAAUAAGGGUUCGACUCCGGAGAGGGAGCCUGAGAAACGGCUACCACAUCCAAGGAAGGCAGCAGGCGCGCAAAUUACCCAAUCUCGGCACGAGGAGGUAGUGACGAAAAAAUAACGCCUUUAGUGGUCUAAGAGGGCCUGCCAUCGGAAUGGGUAC
RNAcentral lists this ribosomal RNA (391 nucleotides) under Tardigrada environmental sample. RNAcentral's name for it is "bacterial SSU rRNA". The stretch from base 1 to 344 matches the Rfam family "Eukaryotic small subunit ribosomal RNA", at positions 135 to 476 of the family's 1831-position model. The record is from RNAcentral. Lineage: Eukaryota; Metazoa; Tardigrada.